CUGCAAUUUAGUGCGUAUAUCCUGAGUUCCUGAUUUUCACAAUUUGGUGCAUAGUUGAGUAACUAGCAUUGUAAAUCUCUUAAUGGGUAUCGUGUCUUGCUAUGUUUUUACCUGAAUCUUUGUGCUCUGUCUGGCUGCUUUGAAAGACAACAAGUCCACAGUAUUUGGAAGUGAAGUGCAUGUAUGAUUUAGUGGCAUUCUCAAUUUCGUUGCUCCAUUCCUAUAACCAGUUAUAUAUUGAUAUGUUUUUGUACAUUAACUAUGGAUUUAAGAAACACUUGUAGCUCUUAUAAUCGUUGUGUUGGUUUUUAUCUCUAGUAAGCUUAUUUGUUAAUUAUGGAUUUGGUGUAAAUUGUAGUUUUAAGCACAAAGCACUGGAAAUUUGAAUUUUCACUAGCUGCAUCUGGUUCAAACAAUUUUUGCAGGGGCUGAGUUUUAAUUAAGGAACGCAUUUAUCAAUCCUUAUUUGAUCAUUUUGGGGCAAUGGUUGCAUCAUUUUUGCAUGGGCUUAGUUUUAUGCACAUCUAUGGGUAGAAUAAUGUAUCAUUUCAGUUCAAUCAAAUUAAUGGGUGCUUUUGCCGAAUUGGUUAUUUAUUUACUUCAGUUUUGGGAUAUAUGGCAACACUGGCAUUCAGUAAACACAAGAAGGUUGACUUGGCUUAUAUAUAUAUAUAUAUCUCACUUUUGUGCUGGAAGGGGGGAGAGGAUGUCAUAUAUAAACAUGAUUGUUGAACAGGGCAUACCGAAAUGAUUAUUAUUCUUUUGGAACCAAAAUCUGUUAAAGAUUUCUGUUAGCUAAUCUUUAGAGGGACUGUCUUUGGCCUCAAUCCUUACCAUUAUAUAGUGCUUCAUGAAUAGGAGAUUUAUGUUUAAUGUGAAAUUAGAUUACUUGUCCUAUCUAAUCUCUGAUAUAUAUUUUUAAUUGUAUCUAAUUGGUCAUCUACUUCACAUGCAAUAAUACACUUUAGAUUUUACUAUUCUUGAUUUUCAAUUCUCAUUUUCAAUUUCAGACAGUAUGGUUCUUCCUCUCAUUUUUGGGUUGGACCUUUUUCUUGACACAUUUUCUUCUGCUGUAUCAGUGGCCAGAGAUUUUGCAAAACAAGGAGUCAAAUUAUGAGAUACAAUGGAUGGACAUUACAGUUUUGUUAAGUUUUCACAAGCAUAUCUUUUGUACAUUCUAUUCAGUCCUCUUAUCAUCUAGUUGAAAGCACAAAGACAACCUAUGGAAACGGAGCUACCGUUUCCAACCAUGGAGGUUAGACAUCAAGAAGUUAAAACAGUCUCGCGGAGUGAAGCUAUUUGCAGGAGUGUCGUUGCAAUUGCAGAUGGUCAAUGUAGUGUUGAUGCUUCUUGCCCCAUUAUAGUGCUGCACAAUAUUAGUCUACUUGGAACAUAAUUAUAGCAUGAUUUCUUUAUAGCUUUGUUGAUUAAUUUUUGUUGUAAAAUAAUUUUGUCGCACCAAUUUGUGUGUGAAAAAUGUGUUGUUUCGGCGAUUUGGUGUGUAG
This 1505-nucleotide unclassified non-coding RNA is filed under the name Hevea brasiliensis (rubber tree). Lineage: Eukaryota; Viridiplantae; Streptophyta; Magnoliopsida; Malpighiales; Euphorbiaceae. The record is from RNAcentral.